AUGACAUCCCCACCCCUAAAUCCUGAUUGGUGGAAUACGUUGGCAUGGGCGUUUGUAGAUCUCUGGUUUAGAAGUUCUACAGGAUCCUGACACAAGGUGGAAGUUCAGCUCCCCAGUCUUCACUGUAGCCCCGAUUGAUUAGUCCUGAGGCGUAUGCUAAAUAAUUCCUGUCUGCCUGAGACACCUACCUGUCUCAUCUCAGCCUUUUGCUGCCUGCCUGCCUGCCUGCCUGCCUGCCUGCCUGCCUGCCUGCCUGCCUGCCUGCCUGCCUGCCUGCCUGCCUGCCUAUCUAUCUAUCUAUCUAUCUAUCUAUCUAUCUAUCUAUCUAUCUAUCUAUCUAUCUAUCUAUCUAUGUGAGACAAGGUUCAUUCAGGCUGGCCUCAACGCUGCCUCCCGAGUGCUGGAAUUAUAGGCACAUGUCGUCAUUCUUCAUGCUUGGCUCUUGAUGUGGUUUUGGGAACUGAAAGCAAGGUCUUCUGCAUGGAGGCACGUGCCCUAUGAGCAGUAACAAACACCCACAACGGUCUUUAAGGGACGGCAUAGGUAAGUACUGGGAAUUGAACCUUGUGUACUGGACAAGCACUUUAAUUUUCUUCAUUGUAGCCUAACGGGGUGGCACACACUUUUAAUCCCAGCACUCAGGAAGCAGAGGCAGGUGGAUCUCUUAGUUUUAAGCCAGCCAGGUCUACAGAACAAAUUCCAGGACAGACAGAUCUACACAGAGAAUCCUAUCUAAACAAACAAACAAAACAACCCCAAAACAAGAAUAAAACAAACAUCUGCAUUGUGUCAGGCAUCAGGUCCCUCCUGUUCUAAAACCAAUUUAUGUCUAGAAUUUGCAUCGUUUUUUCCUUAUUCCCACUCCCAGAUCAAGCCUACUCCAUCAUCUUCAGUAGUUUCCAUCUCCCCACAUCGCCCGCCGCCACAAAUGCCCGUGUCAUCCACUGGCACUCAGGGCAUGGCGUAGAGGGAAGCAUCUGACUCAGGAUCAGCACAUUCCGUCAGCCUGGGAGGCCGUUAGCACAUGCUCCACUGUUGUUCUGCUCACCUCUCAUUUGCUGUCACCAGAGAACAAGCUCCUGCUGUGUGUGCACGACAGAGAACACAGCCGGAUCCCAUUGCCUUCAGAAAUGUGGUGCUUCUGCACACGAACACGCUUCCUUAAUACAGCUUUGUUGAGACGGGUUUGCCAGGUGGCACUGAGAGGACUACAUAGGGCUGGUCCUGAACUUGCAAUCCUCCAAUAUCAGCCCUUUAGGUGUGAGAAUUACAGGUACCAGCCACAACAUGUAGUAUUACAGAACUUUCUUGGAUCCGUCAGCCACCAAAUAAAGACACAAAGACUUAUUUUUAUUA
Rattus norvegicus (Norway rat) is the source of this 1356-nucleotide non-coding RNA. NCBI's taxonomy places the organism in Eukaryota, Metazoa, Chordata, Mammalia, Rodentia, Muridae. The record is from RefSeq and is a predicted model, not a curated record.